AAGCCAGACUCCUACGGGAGGCAGCAGUGGGGGAUAUUGGACAAUGGGGGAAACCCUGAUCCAGCGACGCCGCGUGAGUGAAGAAGUAUUUCGGUAUGUAAAGCUCUAUCAGCAGGGAAGAAAGAAAUGACGGUACCUGAGUAAGAAGCCCCGGCUAACUACGUGCCAGCAGCCGCGGUAAUACGUAGGGGGCAAGCGUUAUCCGGAAUUACUGGGUGUAAAGGGAGCGUAGACGGUAAUGCAAGUCUGGAGUGAAAGGCGGGGGCCCAACCCCCGGACUGCUCUGGAAACUGUGUAAUUGGAGUGCAGGAGAGGCAGGCGGAAUUCCUAGUGUAGCGGUGAAAUGCGUAGAUAUUAGGAGGAACACCAGUGGCGAAGGCGGCCUGCUGGACUGUAACUGACGUUGAGGCUCGAAAGCGUGGGGAGCAAACAGGAUUAGAUACCCUCGUAU
This 451-nucleotide ribosomal RNA is filed under the name uncultured bacterium. RNAcentral's name for it is "bacterial SSU rRNA". It matches the Rfam family "Bacterial small subunit ribosomal RNA", at positions 328 to 793 of the family's 1533-position model. The record is from RNAcentral.